Molecule: ribosomal RNA, 141 nt
Filed under: uncultured eukaryote
Lineage: Eukaryota
Description: partial 18S ribosomal RNA
Rfam family: Eukaryotic small subunit ribosomal RNA
Source: RNAcentral
UGGUGGAGUGAUUUGUCUGGUUAAUUCCGAUAACGAACGAGACCCCGUCCUACUUACUAGACCGAGGAUCCUCUCGUUCUCGCUGUCUUCUUAGAGGGACAACUGCUUAUACCUUGAGCUACAUGAAAUGGGGCAAUAACA